CCUGAGGCUUUAAUCAAAGCCACUCUUUACAAAAUAAAUAAUCUGG
Molecule: non-coding RNA, 46 nt
Organism: Camelus ferus (Wild Bactrian camel)
Lineage: Eukaryota; Metazoa; Chordata; Mammalia; Artiodactyla; Camelidae
Source: Rfam